This 492-nucleotide ribosomal RNA is filed under the name uncultured bacterium. RNAcentral's name for it is "partial 16S ribosomal RNA". It matches the Rfam family "Bacterial small subunit ribosomal RNA", at positions 29 to 507 of the family's 1533-position model. The record is from RNAcentral.
AGUGAACGCUGGCGGUAGGCCUAACACAUGCAAGUCGAACGGCAGCACAGUAAGAGCUUGCUCUUACGGGUGGCGAGUGGCGGACGGGUGAGGAAUACAUCGGAAUCUACUUUUUCGUGGGGGAUAACGUAGGGAAACUUACGCUAAUACCGCAUACGACCUACGGGUGAAAGCAGGGGAUCUUCGGACCUUGCGCGAUUGAAUGAGCCGAUGUCGGAUUAGCUAGUUGGCGGGGUAAAGGCCCACCAAGGCGACGAUCCGUAGCUGGUCUGAGAGGAUGAUCAGCCACACUGGAACUGAGACACGGUCCAGACUCCUAAGGGAGGCAGCAGUGGGGAAUAUUGGACAAUGGGCGGAAGCCUGAUCCAGCCAUACCGCGUGGGUGAAGAAGGCCUUCGGGUUGUAAAGCCCUUUUGUUGGGAAAGAAAAGCAGCAGGUUAAUACCCCGCUGUUCUGACGGUACCCAAAGAAUAAGCACCGGCUAACUUCGUG